This 434-nucleotide ribosomal RNA is filed under the name uncultured bacterium. RNAcentral's name for it is "bacterial SSU rRNA". It matches the Rfam family "Bacterial small subunit ribosomal RNA", at positions 65 to 487 of the family's 1533-position model. The record is from RNAcentral.
AGGGGCAGCAUUUCAGUUUGCUUGCAAACUGGAGAUGGCGACCGGCGCACGGGUGAGUAACACGUAUCCAACCUGCCGAUAACUCGGGGAUAGCCUUUCGAAAGAAAGAUUAAUACCCGAUGGCAUAAUUAGACCGCAUGGUCUUAUUAUUAAAGAAUUUCGGUUAUCGAUGGGGAUGCGUUCCAUUAGGCAGUUGGUGAGGUAACGGCUCACCAAACCUUCGAUGGAUAGGGGUUCUGAGAGGAAGGUCCCCCACAUUGGAACUGAGACACGGUCCAAACUCCUACGGGAGGCAGCAGUGAGGAAUAUUGGUCAAUGGGCGCAGGCCUGAACCAGCCAAGUAGCGUGAAGGAUGACUGCCCUAUGGGUUGUAAACUUCUUUUAUAUGGGAAUAAAGUUUUCCACGUGUGGAAUUUUGUAUGUACCAUAUGAAU